GGAUAACACUUGGAAACAGGUGCUAAUACCGCAUAAUAGUCGACACCGCAUGGUGUUGAUUUGAAAGACGCUUUCGGGUGUCACUGAUGGAUGGACCCGCGGUGCAUUAGCUAGUUGGUGAGGUAACGGCUCACCAAGGCGAUGAUGCAUAGCCGACCUGANAGGGUGAUCGGCCACACUGGGACUGAGACACGGCCCANACUCCUACGGGAGGCAGCAGUAGGGAAUCUUCGGCAAUGGACGAAAGUCUGACCGANCAACGCCGCGUGAGUGAAGAAGGUUUUCGGAUCGUAAAACUCUGUUGUUAGAGAAGAACAAGUAGGAGAGUAACUGCUCUUACCUUGACGGUAUCUAACCAGAAAGCCACGGCUAACUACGUGCCAGCAGCCGCGGUAAUACGUANGUGGCAAGCGUUGUCCGGAUUUAUUGGGCGUAAAGCGAGCGC
Molecule: ribosomal RNA, 445 nt
Filed under: uncultured bacterium
Lineage: Bacteria
Description: bacterial SSU rRNA
Rfam family: Bacterial small subunit ribosomal RNA
Source: RNAcentral